AGUGUCUUCCCGCAAACCGGACGGGAGCGACGCCGGCCAAGGGUGGCGAUGGCGGUGGUGGCGUUCGUGAAGGCGGAGUGCCCAUCCCUCGCAGAAUCCCAAUAGCUGGAUUACAUAUCGUACUUUCCCUCCAUCUCUUGUUUGCCGCUCCUAUCAUCGUUCAUCACAUCCACUUCCACUUCAACGACUUAUCCCUUGGAAGAAGGGAACGAUUUUCUUCCUGUUUCAUCGCGUUUGCAGUCUCGAUUUACUCAGCACCUUCUCUUUGUCGCGGCGCCAUUUUGCUUAUACCUCCUGAGGCAUUGCUAUAGGGGGUAGCCUGUCGAAGGCGAUGGGAAGGUUUCUUACUAUUGGCGCCGCCGUGGGAGAUGUCUUUUCAGUGCAUUUGGUCCAUUCUCUACUAUGUACAUGUGGUUUGUUAAUUCUUGUAUCGAGUUAGUUCUGAUCUGCACUUCACUGAAAAAAAGUGAUUGGAAAAUUUGAUCUUUGGUAUGCGGAUUCAUAAUCUACAUGCAUAAAGCUUUCUUGUAUUUUGUUGCAAUGACCACAGAAGGUUGAAGAAAGUUUCUGGCAAGUUGGCGUUUUCCUUCCUUGGUCUGUUGGGAUCAAAAUUAAUCAGAGAAGUUUACGUGUUGUUCCUGCACUAACUAAAGACUAAAGUUCACGUGCUUUGGAUAAGAAGCAAUCAUUUACCAGAUUAUUUGGAUUGUUAUCUUGGGAUUUCUGGACCUGGAGUUAUGGGGUCACCAACUGGACCCACAUAUUUUUGGAAGAAGAGCAUGCUUUGCUUCCUCUUUGUAUUCAUCUGCACGAAAAGCUUUGUAAGUACAGGAAAAGCAAUCAUUUUAUUAAUCUAUCAUACGAUUUGUUUAUAUAGUUUUUGUUCUUGCUUCAUUAUGAAGCCUAGAAGGAACCAAAAUGGUAACGAAAGCAAAAAAUAUCCACUAGUGAACAGACCAUCAUGACAGUAUAUGGAGGAGAGCAAAUACCUAGAUCGACCCUGCUAAUGAACUAGUUUGAAUUUAGAUACCCUAUUCAAUUAUUAUUGGUUGAAAUCUCACAAUUUAAUCCGAAAAUCUCACAAAAAUGAUUUUAUCAAAUUAAGUGGGUGUGAUAUGCUGAGUAACUAUAAUUUUAAACAAAUUCUGAAAUAGAUUACUGAGCAUGAUUAGGUACGCGAACUCAACUUGAACAACUUGGAUAUUCAUUGCUUUUUCAUUAGAAUAUUUAGCUUAUGAAGCUAAAAAUUUAGUUUAAAUUAAUUUCUUAAGAAGUUUCAGUCGAUAUAAUAGGAGACAACAAAGUUAACCUUUCCUAUAAAAGAAGCCUUGUUGGAGCAGUCAAGUAGCAAAUUAAAGGUCAGGCAUGAAUGACUCUGUGGUAUCAUGCUUUUGGUGAAAAAAAGACUUUUUGUAUCUUUUUGUGCCCCACUAACUAGCAUUUACCAUGACAGAGAGAAAGGCUGGUUCCAUCUGCAGUGUACUCAUGAUGGCUUUCAUUUGUUUUACAUAAAACCUAGUAGAUAUGUCUGCAAGCCAAGAAUCUGAUGAAGAUGCAGCAGUUCAAAUAUUUCUUCAUGAAUAUAUUUCAGGUUCAAUCUCUGAUCACAAAACAAAUGUUUCAUUCCAAGGAAGACUGAACACUUUUUCUCAGAUUCACUUAUCAUUUAACUCUACAAUUAGAGGCUUUCUUUUGGCAUACCUUUUCCAUCCUGACAGUACUCGUAAAUCAGAUUAGGGGUUGAAAAUUUUUUUUUUUCUUUCAAAUAUUCAUGACCAUUGGACCUAUUUAAUUUGAGUUUGAAUACUCAUUAAGUAUGGAAUGAGUUUAAGCAAAAUGAUAAAUGCUCGACAUUGGUAUGGAACAGGCUUGGAAGUGCAUACUUGGAUGGAUAGUUUAAAUAUUUACAUAUUUGCGAAUUUGUAAAUGUUCCUCAUAUGUCGAGCAUUUCAUUGUUUGAGCUUGACUUUCAAUCAAUUUUUAUUCACUUUUGGAUCUCAUU
Long non-coding RNA from Zingiber officinale, 2002 nucleotides. RefSeq lists it as uncharacterized. The transcript has 3 exons. The record is from RefSeq and is a predicted model, not a curated record. NCBI's taxonomy places the organism in Eukaryota, Viridiplantae, Streptophyta, Magnoliopsida, Zingiberales, Zingiberaceae.